AUUGAACGCUGGCGGCAGGCCUAACACAUGCAAGUCGAGCGGAUGAAGGGAGCUUGCUCUUGGAUUCAGCGGCGGACGGGUGAGUAAUGCCUAGGAAUCUGCCUGGUAGUGGGGGAUAACGUCCGGAAACGGGCGCUAAUACCGCAUACGCUCUGAGGGAGAAAGUGGGGGAUCUUCGGACCUCACGCUAUCAGAUGACCCUAGGUCGGAUUAGCUAGUUGGUGUGGUAAAGGCGUACCAAGGCGACGAUCCGUAACUGGUCUGAGAGGAUGAUCAGUCACACUGGAACUGAGACACGGUCCAGACUCCUACGGGAGGCAGCAGUGGGGAAUAUUGGACAAUGGGCGAAAGCCUGAUCCAGCCAUGCCGCGUGAGUGAAGAAGGUCUUCGGAUUGUAAAGCACUUUAAGUUGGGAGGAAGGGCAGUAAGUUAAUACCUUGCUGUUUUGACGGUACCAACAGAAUAAGCACCGGCUAACUACGUG
This 484-nucleotide ribosomal RNA is filed under the name uncultured bacterium. Its description in RNAcentral is "partial 16S ribosomal RNA". It matches the Rfam family "Bacterial small subunit ribosomal RNA", at positions 30 to 507 of the family's 1533-position model. The record is from RNAcentral.